AUGGGGUCGCUCCAGCUGUGGGAUCCCGCUCAGAGCAGGGCCGCGGGGCAGUGCGGGGCUCAUCCCUCGCGCAUCCCUGCAGGGUCACCCCGGCCGAGAGGGGCCAGCCGGAGAGAAGGGUCUCCAGGUAAGGAGCCGCCCUGGGGAAGCGGCUCAGCCCCCCUCGUGGGGUCCCUGCCUGCCCCCCCCCCUGCACGGAUGGGGCCGUUUCCAUCUCUGCUGAUGCUGGCUCUGCCCCCAGGGCCCUGCGGGCGCCGCUGGCCCCGUCGGCUAUCCGGGACCGCGCGGGGUGAAGGUAAGCACAGCCUCCCCCUCAGCCAGGCCCCGCGGUGGGGUCGGGCUGCAUCCCCCCGAUCGGGAGCCUCCCUCCGGCCCCCCGGCCCCUCUGUGUCUCCGCAGGGAGCUUUCGGCGUGCGCGGCCUGAAGGGCAGCAAAGGGGAGAAGGUAAGGGCGGCUGGCGAGGGGGUCCCAGGGACGCUCGUGCCGGUGCUGUCACAGCCCUGCGCUGGGGGUGCUGGGCGGCUGGAGACGGCCCUCCGCACCGGGGUGGGGGGCUUGCGCCGGAGCUGGCGCGGUCUUGGCCCCCCCAGCCUGUGCUUCCCUUCAGGGAGAAGAUGGAUUCCCCGGCUUCAAGGGGGACAUGGGUCCGAAGGGCGACAGGGUAAGCGGGGUCCCCGGGGAGGGGGGGUGUUUCCACAUUUCUGGCCUCUCUUGGGGGUUGCGGGAGCCCCGGGGGCAGUUUGGGGGGGCGGUCUGGCUGCAGGGGGGUGCGGGGACACGGGGGGGCGGCCCCGGCGGUGUUUCGCCGGGCGGCACGCUCCCCGCGCUGCUGCCUUGCUGUUCCAGGGGGACCAGGGCCCGCUGGGCCCCCGGGGUGAGGACGGCCCCGAGGGGCUGAAGGGGCAGACGGGCCCCAUGGGCGAACCAGGCGCUGCCGGCCCUGCCGGCGAUAAGGUGGGUGCCAGCGCUCUGCCCCCGCGCCCGCGGCGCGUGCUGCCCCCAGCUCAGCUCCGCUCUCUCCCUUGCAGGGCAAGCUGGGCGUGCCGGGCCUCCCAGGAUACCCUGGACGCCAGGGCCCCAAGGUGA
Molecule: long non-coding RNA, 1086 nt
Filed under: Apteryx haastii (Great spotted kiwi)
Lineage: Eukaryota; Metazoa; Chordata; Aves; Apterygiformes; Apterygidae
Description: lncRNA (ENSAHAG00000008467.1)
Source: RNAcentral